Molecule: ribosomal RNA, 282 nt
Filed under: uncultured Alphaproteobacteria bacterium
Lineage: Bacteria; Pseudomonadati; Pseudomonadota; Alphaproteobacteria
Description: partial 16S ribosomal RNA
Rfam family: Bacterial small subunit ribosomal RNA
Source: RNAcentral
GUUUGAUCCUGGCUCAGAACGAACGCUGGCGGCAGGCUUAACACAUGCAAGUCGAGCGCGCCCUUCUGGGUGAGCGGCGAACAGGUGAGUAACCCGUGGGAACGUGCCCCUUUCUUCCGAAUACCCUCCGGAAACUGGGAGUAAUGCCCAAUACUCCCAUUUGGAGUGAUCCAUUUGGGGAAAGAUUUAUCGGAAAGGGAUCUGCCCCCGUUGGAUUAGGUAGUUGGUGGGGUAAUGGCCUACCUAGCCGACGAUCCGUACCUGGUUUGAGACGAUGAUCAG